UAUUAAUGAAUAUGAAAACAAAAAAGAAGUUCCAGAGCUACUGCUCCUCAGUUAGAGAAAACAAUUCUCUCACUGCCCAAACCCUAAUAUGAAAAACAGAAAAUAAUAGCAUACCUAGCUACUGCCCCAUACACUCCUAUUAAUAUGGGGAAUACUAAACUAACUCCUAUUUAUUUGGAAAUACUAACAAACUAACUGAGACUCCUAUUUAUUUGGAAAAUACUAACAAAUUAAAUGAGACUCCUAUUUAUUUGGAGAAUACUAAUUAACUGGGCCUUU
This 279-nucleotide long non-coding RNA is filed under the name Lathyrus oleraceus (garden pea). Its description in RNAcentral is "Pisum sativum (pea) long non-coding RNA (PSAT_LNC009351)". The record is from RNAcentral. Lineage: Eukaryota; Viridiplantae; Streptophyta; Magnoliopsida; Fabales; Fabaceae.